Molecule: long non-coding RNA, 344 nt
Filed under: Vitis vinifera (wine grape)
Lineage: Eukaryota; Viridiplantae; Streptophyta; Magnoliopsida; Vitales; Vitaceae
Description: long non-coding RNA (VVIN_LNC008173)
Source: RNAcentral
GUUUUAGUCUAGUUGGGGCAUCCCAUGUGGUGCAAAAGUGUGGGAUCAGUCUUAUGAGAAGCGGUUCAGGAUGAAGAACCAAAUGGAACUUAGUGGUUGUUGCUGCACUAAGUAACUCACUGGCCUUCAAAUGGGAACAGACAUGCAAUUUUGUUAAAUUAAACUUUUUUUCUAAUUUAUCAAAACAAAACAAUACAAAUGGUCGCUCAAUGUAGCUUCUUGAUAAUCACUGCAUGCCAAUUGAAUACGUCUUUGUUGUUUCUCUGAGAGUGCUUACUUUUCACAAAUUGAGGUGGUAUUUUUGUUGGACUGGUGAUUAUUUAUAAGGAGGCCCAAGAAAAAAA